Molecule: ribosomal RNA, 429 nt
Filed under: Chloroflexota bacterium
Lineage: Bacteria; Bacillati; Chloroflexota
Description: Chloroflexi bacterium partial 16S ribosomal RNA
Rfam family: Bacterial small subunit ribosomal RNA
Source: RNAcentral
UGGGGAAUAUUGCACAAUGGGCGCAAGCCUGAUGCAGCCAUGCCGCGUGUAUGAAGAAGGCCUUCGGGUUGUAAAGUACUUUCAGUCGGGAGGAAGGUGGUAAGGUUAAUAACCUUAUCAAUUGACGUUACCGACAGAAGAAGCACCGGCUAACUCCGUGCCAGCAGCCGCGGUAAUACGGAGGGUGCAAGCGUUAAUCGGAAUUACUGGGCGUAAAGCGCACGCAGGCGGUUGAUUGAGUCAGAUGUGAAAUCCCCGGGCUUAACCCGGGAAUUGCAUCUGAUACUGGUCAGCUAGAGUCUUGUAGAGUGGGGUAGAAUUCCAUGUGUAGCGGUGAAAUGCGUAGAGAUGUGGAGGAAUACCGGUGGCGAAGGCGGCCCCCUGGACAAAGACUGACGCUCAGGUGCGAAAGCGUGGGGAGCAAACAGG